UUGAUCCUGGCUCAGGAUGAACGCUAGCGGCAGGCCUAAUACAUGCAAGACGAACGGUAAGCUUUUCAGCAAUGAGAAGCCUAGAGUGUCGUAAGGGUGCGUAACACGUAUGCAAUCUGCCCUGUACAGGAGGAUAGCUCCCCGAAAGGGGAAUUAACACUCCAUAAGAUCACGAGAGGGCAUCUGAUUGUGAUUAAAACUGAGGUGGUACAGGAUGAGCAUGCGCAUGAUUAGUUAGUUGGCGGGGUAAAGGCCCACCAAGACGAUGAUCAUUAGGGGAACUGAGAGGUUGAUCCCCCACACUGGCACUGAGAUACGGGCCAGACUCCUACGGGAGGCAGCAGUAGGGAAUAUUGGACAAUGGGUGAGAGCCUGAUCCAGCCAUGCCGCGUGCAGGAAGAAAGCCUUCUGGGUUGUAAACUGCUUUUGCCAGGGGAUAAAAACACUAUGCGUAGUGGAUUGAAGGUACCUGGUGAAUAAGCCACGGCUAACUACGUGCCAGCAGCCGCGGUAAUACGUAGGUGGCAAGCGUUGUCCGGAUUUAUUGGGUUUAAAGGGUGCGUAGGCGGUUCAAUAAGUCAGUGGUGAAAUACGGCAGCUCAACUGUCGAGGUGCCAUUGAUACUGUUGAACUUGAGUACUGAUGAGGUAGGCGGAAUGGACGGUGUAGCGGUGAAAUGCUUAGAGAUCGUCCAGAACACCGAUAGCGAAGGCAGCUUACUAAGGAGUAACUGACGCUGAGGCACGAAAGUGUGGGGAUCAAACAGGAUUAGAUACCCUGGUAGUC
RNAcentral lists this ribosomal RNA (786 nucleotides) under uncultured bacterium. Its description in RNAcentral is "bacterial SSU rRNA". It matches the Rfam family "Bacterial small subunit ribosomal RNA", at positions 13 to 795 of the family's 1533-position model. The record is from RNAcentral.